CCAUUAGAUGUUCUGGGCCGCACGCGCGCUACACUGAUGAAUGCAACGAGCUCUACCCUUGACCGAAAGGCCCGGGUAAACUUGUGAAACUUCAUCGUGAUGGGGAUAGAUUAUUGCAAUUAUUAAUCUUCAACGAGGAAUUCCUAGUAAGCGCGAGUCAUCAGCUCGCGUUGAUUACGUCCCUGCCCUUUGUACACACCGCCCGUCGCUCCUACCGAUUGAAUGGUCCGGUGAAAUCUUCGGAUUGCUGACCAAGAUCCAGCAAUGGAGCUUGGUUGCGAGAAGUUGAUUAAACCUUAUUAUUUAGAGGAAGGAGAAGUCGUAACA
RNAcentral lists this ribosomal RNA (327 nucleotides) under uncultured eukaryote. Its description in RNAcentral is "partial 18S ribosomal RNA". It matches the Rfam family "Eukaryotic small subunit ribosomal RNA", at positions 1470 to 1796 of the family's 1831-position model. The record is from RNAcentral.